AAAGGAGCAAUCCGCUUUGAGAUGGCCUCGCGUCCGAUUAGCUAGUUGGUGAGGUAAUGGCCCACCAAGGCGACGAUCGGUAGCCGGACUGAGAGGUUGAACGGCCACAUUGGGACUGAGACACGGCCCAGACUCCUACGGGAGGCAGCAGUGGGGAAUAUUGCACAAUGGGGGAAACCCUGAUGCAGCGACGCCGCGUGGAGGAAGAAGGUCUUCGGAUUGUAAACUCCUGUUGUUGAGGAAGAUAAUGACGGUACUCAACAAGGAAGUGACGGCUAACUACGUGCCAGCAGCCGCGGUAAAACGUAGGUCACAAGCGUUGUCCGGAAUUACUGGGUGUAAAGGGAGCGCAGGCGGGAAGACAAGUUGGAAGUGAAAUCCAUGGGCUCAACCCAUGAACUGCUUUCAAAACUGUUUUUCUUGAGUAGUGCAGAGGUAGGCGGAAUUCCCGGUGUAGCGGUGGAAUGCGUAGAUAUCGGGAGGAACACCAGUGGCGAAGGCGGCCUACUGGGCACCAACUGACGCUGAGGCUCGAAAGUGUGGGUAGCAAACAGGAUUAGAUACCCUGGUAGUCCACACUGUAAACGAUGAUUACUAGGUGUUGGAGGAUUGACCCCUUCAGUGCCGCAGUUAACACAAUAAGUAAUCCACCUGGGGAGUA
RNAcentral lists this ribosomal RNA (661 nucleotides) under uncultured bacterium. RNAcentral describes it as "bacterial SSU rRNA". It matches the Rfam family "Bacterial small subunit ribosomal RNA", at positions 202 to 882 of the family's 1533-position model. The record is from RNAcentral.